Molecule: ribosomal RNA, 207 nt
Filed under: uncultured bacterium
Lineage: Bacteria
Description: partial 16S ribosomal RNA
Rfam family: Bacterial small subunit ribosomal RNA
Source: RNAcentral
AGCGUAGACGGACUGGCAAGUCUGAUGUGAAAGGCGGGGGCUCAACCCCUGGACUGCAUUGGAAACUGUUAGUCUUGAGUGCCGGAGAGGUAAGCGGAAUUCCUAGUGUAGCGGUGAAAUGCGUAGAUAUUAGGAGGAACACCAGUGGCGAAGGCGGCUCUCUGGACUGUAACUGACACUGAGGCACGAAAGCGUGGGGAGCAAACA